Molecule: long non-coding RNA, 1037 nt
Organism: Brassica oleracea var. oleracea
Lineage: Eukaryota; Viridiplantae; Streptophyta; Magnoliopsida; Brassicales; Brassicaceae
Exons: 4
Source: RefSeq, a predicted model, not a curated record
UCAUCGUAUAUCGCGAAAGGGGAUUAGGGUUGAAACAGCUUGUCCCUUUCUGAGAUUUCAAGUUAUGAAAAUUUCCAUCUUUAUUCUGCAGCUUCACAUAUGAACAGCCCGUGUUCUUCUGCUUUCUAGCUUCUCAGACGAUCUCCUUCGUCUUCUCCACUGCUCCAGUAAUACCUGCUACUCACUUCUCUGCUUCUCCUGAUGACUACAAUACAACAUGCUGCUUUCGAUGAACAAUAUAUAACUUCUCCCUGCGAUUCCAAGUAACAUUCUUCAAAACUGAUUCAUCCGUGUCUACUUGUUAAUUCAUCUCAUGUGCACCUGAAGCUUUUUGCAGUUACUCCACCUGAAGCUAAAAUCUCCUCAUUGUUAGCUUCAUCAAAAAAAAUUUCACACAUAACCUUCUCACCAAUGUUCUUCUUGAUUUUUUUUUUUUUGUUUCUUUCCUUUUGCAAAAACCAUAAAUUCUCGAUUUCAUCUUUUUAGCAGCUUCUCUGGUAAACAGCCAGUACUGCUCUUAAGCUACUUCGAUGAUCUUCAGGUAAAAUUUCAUAACCUGAACAUCCUCUCGACUUGAGUUCAGCUGAAUAAGAACCUGACUCGGUUUCUUUUCCCUUUCUUUACGGUGUACCCUAACACCUCGCCUUUGCUGGUCCUCGGACACUCGUUUCCUUUCAGUUUAUCCGGCAAGCUGAUUCACCUCCUCCACUGCUUAAGACGUUCAAGGUACUUUAAUUUAAUCCAAUUGUGAGAAAGAGUCAUUGGCAUUUAACAAUAUGAACAGGUAGGGAAAUGCAAAAUGCUGCGUUUUGCAUUACGGUGAAAGAAGGAAAAAGUUAAAUAAGGAUAUGGAAAAGUUAAAUAAGGAUAUAAUAAAAUAUUAUGUUAUAAGCUAGUUAUAAUAUUAAAAAAAAAACAUCAUUCACUUGGUCUAUGUAAUAGAUCUAAGGGUGUUAGACCACUUCCAUUGGUUAGAGCCCUUAAGAGCAACAUUAUUGCAAACUUUUUAAAUUUAGGUUCUUAGCAUAUUUUAUUAA